ACCAAUGUGGUAUAGUGGUUUGAGUGUUAGACUACAAUUCUGGAGACCAGGGUUCGAUUCCCUGCAUGGCCA
RNAcentral lists this transfer RNA (72 nucleotides) under Phrynosoma platyrhinos (Desert horned lizard). RNAcentral describes it as "tRNA-OTHER". It matches the Rfam family "tRNA". From Rfam's summary of the family: Transfer RNA (tRNA) molecules are approximately 80 nucleotides in length. Their secondary structure includes four short double-helical elements and three loops (D, anti-codon, and T loops). Further hydrogen bonds mediate the characteristic L-shaped molecular structure. tRNAs have two regions of fundamental functional importance: the anti-codon, which is responsible for specific mRNA codon recognition, and the 3' end, to which the tRNAs corresponding amino acid is attached (by aminoacyl-tRNA synthetases). tRNAs cope with the degeneracy of the genetic code in two manners: having more than one tRNA (with a specific anti-codon) for a particular amino acid; and 'wobble' base-pairing, i.e. permitting non-standard base-pairing at the 3rd anti-codon position. Lineage: Eukaryota; Metazoa; Chordata; Lepidosauria; Squamata; Phrynosomatidae. The record is from RNAcentral.